GUCUUUAUGGGUGUGCGAUAGCUUCCCUUCCGCUCCUCCUCCCGUCGUCUUUCGGUCUUUGUGGUAAGUUAGACGAUAACAAGGGUGGAGCGGCCGGCGGCGGCGGCGGUGGGAUUGACACGGCUCGAGAGCGGUCUUAGUGUAUGUACUCGAGGUGCCGACGACGCCGCGGUGGUCGGUCCGCGUGCGCGUCGGCCGGCGGCAGACGGAGCAGGGCGUCCAGACUACUGGGGAGGAGGCGGCGGUUGCCUUUACCCUUCUGGAGGGGCUUCGAGCGAAGAGGGUUUGUAGAAGGCCCCCUCUCCUGCCACUUCUUCGAUUCCGACAGGUUCCGCGACUGCUAUGGACUCCCGUGCUGCCAGAUGCUGCGCAGGGCCGCCUACCGCCGCUCCGCCCAGCUGCGCCACGACGAGUGGCUACGGGUUCCGGAGGAUAGACCGUAUCAGUGGCUAUUCCUAUAUAGGUGUGCUCACUAACGUCUCCCCGACGCCCACCUCGUUUGGUAGUACAGGUUCUAGUACUGUGCCUUAGGAUGAAUACAGUGACGACUGAGUGAACGUUAACUCCGUAACGUUUUCUACCAAGUUCCAUUUAAAUCUGUGGAGGGUCAACACCUUUUACCACUCCAAUACCGAUACGAUCUGUAACGUUUUACGGAAAUACUACGAUAUCGUUCUAACCUUUUCCGUCGACUUGUUCCCUCACGAUAUCGUCGACGUCAUCUCCCCCAACUCGCAGUUGACCCUCCGUUGAAAUGUCGAGGAAUACGAAAGUAUCUUUGAGAUUCUCUCGCCUACAAGUUUGGAAGAGACAGUUGGUAACAGUGCCUCCCGUGUUUCCAUCGUUAACAAAGGGGAAGUCUAGGACACAUACACCGCUGUGUCUUUUACGCACUCAAAGCUCAAUUAAGUCACUAACAGUGAUGUCCCUUGUGUCACGUCCCCUAGAAAUGGAGUUUUCUACAAGAAUACGCACAACACAGUGUCUUAGAAAGGGGUCUUAACUGGAAUCAUCUUUUCCACUACUGACGUUUGGGACUAACACGAUGCAAUCUGUGCUGUUAAGAACUACGCGAUGUAUAUUACGUACUACCGUUUAAGAACGUGUAAGGACAAGACCUGUCUCUCCCGGUUUAACGACGAACGGAGCUACAGGACGUUGAAUGGGUACGUCGGUAAGUUAACCAACUUCCCCCGUUACCCUGACGAUUACUGUACCGUUUGAGUCAUUACGUCUCCAAGACCCUGAGACGCGAACGAAAUCUUGGAGGUCUACUGCUUGAACUAUCGGCAUCGCUUCGUAGGAAUGAAUACCGCAGUCUUCGGCCCCUACCCGCCUCAUCAUAUAUAGGGGGAUAGUAACCAUUAAGCAAAGGGAAAUUCGAAGUUCUGGCCUUCCCUGCGCACGUAUCUAAGUGGACACCGAGUCUCUCGAAUUUGCUCGAACACAGGAGACAUUCCGUUUCUAACUCAUAAUAACUACUUUUCCUGUAGUAAGUUUAGAACAUGCUUCUACUACUCCCACUGGCCCACGACGACUGUUGCCUAUGACUAGAACGACCGCGGCACGAGGUACGGUUUAGUAGGCCAAACUUCCAAGAGUUCAACGUAUAGCACCUGCUCAGAUUAGGUUUGUGUCUCCACCAUUUUGGUAAUGUCCUCGAUCGUGGAGUGUCGUCCUUACCACGCAGAAGACAAUUUUAGCCCGAGUACCGACCACGUCAACGAGAGUCACCGCGCCGUCAGUACCACAUGAACUUUGCUAGGUCCCACACUAAUGGUCUACUUAGUUAUUAAAGGAUUUGGGCGCAGAGUUGUCGACUGUAGGUAGGUGAAAUCUUAGAUAACAAUAGAACCAUAGUAACGUAUGAUUCUUUUCUUUCUUACUCCGUGUACUCCAGUGUACAAAGGUCAGACAGUCCAUUAACUUUUCAGCUUGUCGUCCGCCAUCCUCGACGGAUUAUAAACAGGGAGGUGUAAAACGUGUUUGUAGUCACUAAAGUACCGAUGUUACUUUGCAUAUUUGUAUUCGCAAAUACGAUCAAGUAUGAAAACGUGAAAAAACAUCUAUUUGUCUCCUACAUUUUACUAAAACCUCGUAUUGUAAUUCACCUGAUAAGAGACGGUCACAGGAUGUUUUUAGUUUACAUUUGUUAACCCAUUACGUGUGACAGUUUGUAUGAUGAGUCCGACUGUUUAUUACGGGUAAUAAUAAACUAGGACACGGGAGAGUUCUAGAAUAGACGGGUCAUCUCAUCCACCCGGGAUCAAUAUAGGGAAACAUAUACACUACCUAACUAUUACUUCAGUACUAAUCAUUUUUUCCUAACCCAACCACACACCUAGUUCAAUACCAACGACCGACGUGUACAAUCACCAAUGGAUAGGGAAAACAACUCCACCAACCAUCAAAGAAUUGGAGGGAUCCACCGAAACUCACCUUACCUCGCUAGAUCACGAGGAGAAGGUUGAUAGCGUUUGAACGAAAACAUCGAACUUUCUGUCACAAACCUAAUCCGUUACUAUAGGUUG
This 2531-nucleotide ribosomal RNA is filed under the name Triticum aestivum (bread wheat). Its description in RNAcentral is "partial small subunit ribosomal RNA". The record is from RNAcentral. Lineage: Eukaryota; Viridiplantae; Streptophyta; Magnoliopsida; Poales; Poaceae.